RNAcentral lists this ribosomal RNA (402 nucleotides) under Bacteroidota bacterium. RNAcentral's name for it is "Bacteroidetes bacterium partial 16S ribosomal RNA". It matches the Rfam family "Bacterial small subunit ribosomal RNA", at positions 355 to 776 of the family's 1533-position model. The record is from RNAcentral. Lineage: Bacteria; Pseudomonadati; Bacteroidota.
UGGGGAAUUUUGCACAAUGGGGGAAACCCUGAUGCAGCGACGCCGCGUGAUUUAGAAGGCCUUCGGGUUGUAAAAAUCUUUUCUAUGGGAAGAAAAUGACAGUACCAUAGGAAUAAGGACCGGCUAACUACGUGCCAGCAGCCGCGGUAAUACGUAAGGUCCGAGCGUUGUCCGGAAUCAUUGGGCGUAAAGGGUACGUAGGCGGGUAAGCAAGUUAGAAGUGAAAUCCUGUAGCUCAACUACAGUAAGCUUUUAAAACUGCUCAUCUUGAUAUAUGGAAGGGAAAGUGGAAUUCCUAGUGUAGCGGUGAAAUGCGCAGAUAUUAGGAGAAAUACCGGUGGCGAAGGCGACUUUCUGGCCAUAAUCUGACGCUGAGGUACGAAAGCGUGGGUAGCAAACAGG